CCUACGGGUGGCAGCAGUGGGGAAUAUUGCGCAAUGGGCGAAAGCCUGACGCAGCGACGCCGCGUGAGGGAUGAAGGUCUUCGGAUCGUAAACCUCUGUCAGCAGGGAAGAACGGUCACUGUGCUAAUCAGCAGUGAAUUGACGGUACCUGCAAAGGAAGCACCGGCUAACUCCGUGCCAGCAGCCGCGGUAAUACGGAGGGUGCGAGCGUUAAUCGGAAUUACUGGGCGGAAAGCGUUCGUAGGCGGUAUGUCAAGUAAAGGGUGAAAUCCCCGCGCGCAACGUGGGAACUGCCUUUGAAACUGGCAAACUGGAGUGUGUGAGAGGAUAGUGGAAUGCCAGGUGUAGGAGUGAAAUCCGUAGAUAUCUGGAGGAACAUCAGUGGCGAAGGCGACUAUCUGGAACAUAACUGACGCUGAGGAGCGAAAGCGUGGGUAGCAAACAGGAUUAGAUACCCCAGUAGUC
Molecule: ribosomal RNA, 465 nt
Filed under: uncultured bacterium
Lineage: Bacteria
Description: partial 16S ribosomal RNA
Rfam family: Bacterial small subunit ribosomal RNA
Source: RNAcentral